This 22-nucleotide microRNA is filed under the name Dinoponera quadriceps. RNAcentral describes it as "dqu-miR-3786-5p". The record is from miRBase by way of RNAcentral. Lineage: Eukaryota; Metazoa; Arthropoda; Insecta; Hymenoptera; Formicidae.
CUUGUCCUGGUUCAUGUAGGGC